CGCAAGGGGAGUGGCGCACGGGUGAGUAAUACAUGGGAACGUGCCUUUCAGUCUGGGAUAACAGCGGGAAACUGCUGCUAAAACCGGAUAUUCCCUCCGGGGGAAAGUUUACGCUGAAAGAUCGGCCCAUGCGAGAUUAGGUAGUUGGUGGGGUAAAAGCCUACCAAGCCUACGAUCUCUAGCUGGUCUGAGAGGACGACCAGCCACACUGGAACUGAGACACGGUCCAGACUCCUACGGGAGGCAGCAGUGGGGAAUAUUGGACAAUGGGGGAAACCCUGAUCCAGCCAUGCCGCGUGAGUGAUGAAGGCCUUAGGG
RNAcentral lists this ribosomal RNA (318 nucleotides) under uncultured bacterium. RNAcentral's name for it is "bacterial SSU rRNA". It matches the Rfam family "Bacterial small subunit ribosomal RNA", at positions 85 to 422 of the family's 1533-position model. The record is from RNAcentral.